AGCGAACGCUGGCGGCAGGCUUAACACAUGCAAGUCGAACGCCCCGCAAGGGGAGUGGCGGACGGGUGAGUAACACGUGGGAACGUGCCUUUAGGUUCGGAAUAACUCAGGGAAACUUGUGCUAAUACCGAAUGUGCCCUUCGGGGGAAAGAUUUAUCGCCUUUAGAGCGGCCCGCGUCUGAUUAGCUAGUUGGUGAGGUAAUGGCUCGCCAAGGCUACGAUCAGUAGCUGGUCUGAGAGGAUGACCAGCCACAUUGGGACUGAGACACGGCCCAAACUCCUACGGGAGGCAGCAGUGGGGAAUCUUGCGCAAUGGGCGAAAGCCUGACGCAGCCAUGCCGCGUGGAUGAUGAAGGUCUUAGGAUUGUAAAAUCCUUUCACCGGUGAAGAUAAUGACUGUAGCCGGAGAAGAAGCCCCGGCUAACUUCGUGCCAGCCGCCGCAGUAA
RNAcentral lists this ribosomal RNA (447 nucleotides) under uncultured bacterium. RNAcentral's name for it is "partial 16S ribosomal RNA". It matches the Rfam family "Bacterial small subunit ribosomal RNA", at positions 29 to 523 of the family's 1533-position model. The record is from RNAcentral.